Molecule: long non-coding RNA, 358 nt
Organism: Amphiprion ocellaris (clown anemonefish)
Lineage: Eukaryota; Metazoa; Chordata; Actinopteri; Pomacentridae
Source: Ensembl
GUCCUGCAUCAACUCAUGACUCACCAGAGCUUUUUGGUUCUUGGACACGACUCUGCUGCUGAACUCCUGCUGGUUCCUGUUCUGGUUUCCCAUCUGGACUCACCUUCCAUGUUUGGAUUCCCACCUCUGUUCCUAUUCUGUCUCCAACCUGUGGAUGUUCUGUUCUGUGUUCCACCAUCUCCAGAGUUGCCUGAUUCUGCUACCUUCAGUUUAGUUUCUUCCCAUUAAAACCGUGCAGCGCUGGCGGCCUUCCAUCCACGUGAACCCAAAUAUAGUCUAGACGGGAGCUUCCAGCGCCUUCAAAUCUGCCUUGAUUGGUAAUUAGCCGCGCUGUGCAGGAAGGAAACAUUGAUUCGGC